This 125-nucleotide microRNA precursor is filed under the name Hordeum vulgare. RNAcentral describes it as "microRNA MIR1122". It matches the Rfam family "MIR1120/MIR1122 microRNA precursor family". Lineage: Eukaryota; Viridiplantae; Streptophyta; Magnoliopsida; Poales; Poaceae. The record is from RNAcentral.
AAGCUACUCCCUUCGUCCAAAAAUAUUUAUCGUAGGAAUAGAUGUAUGUAGAUGUAUUUUAGUUAUAGAUACAUUUACUUUUAUUUAUUUUUGUAAAAAGUAAUUUCAGACGAAGGGAGUAUUAA